GAUGAACGCUGGCGGCGUGCCUAAUACAUGCAAGUCGAGCGAACAGACGAGGAGCUUGCUCCUCUGACGUUAGCGGCGGACGGGUGAGUAACACGUAGAUAACCUACCUAUAAGACUGGGAUAACUUCGGGAAACCGGAGCUAAUACCGGAUAAUAUAUUGAACCGCAUGGUUCAAUAGUGAAAGAUGGUUUUGCUGUCACUUAUAGAUGGAUCCGCGCCGCAUUAGCUAGUUGGUAAGGUAACGGCUUACCAAGGCAACGAUGCGUAGCCGACCUGAGAGGGUGAUCGGCCACACUGGAACUGAGACACGGUCCAGACUCCUACGGGAGGCAGCAGUAGGGAAUCUUCCGCAAUGGGCGAAAGCCUGACGGAGCAACGCCGCGUGAGUGAUGAAGGUCUUCGGAUCGUAAAACUCUGUUAUUAGGGAAGAACAAAUGUGUAAGUAACUAUGCACGUCUUGACGGUACCUAAUCAGAAAGCCACGGCUAACUACGUG
This 497-nucleotide ribosomal RNA is filed under the name uncultured bacterium. Its description in RNAcentral is "partial 16S ribosomal RNA". It matches the Rfam family "Bacterial small subunit ribosomal RNA", at positions 28 to 507 of the family's 1533-position model. The record is from RNAcentral.